Molecule: ribosomal RNA, 439 nt
Filed under: uncultured bacterium
Lineage: Bacteria
Description: bacterial SSU rRNA
Rfam family: Bacterial small subunit ribosomal RNA
Source: RNAcentral
ACUCCUACGGGAGGCAGCAGUGGGGAAUAUUGGACAAUGGGCGCAAGCCUGAUCCAGCCAUGCCGCGUGAGUGAUGACGGCCUUAGGGUUGUAAAGCUCUUUCAACGGUGAAGAUAAUGACGGUAACCGUAGAAGAAGCCCCGCGUACAUUCGUGCCAGCAGCCGCGGUAAUACGAAGGGGCGUAGCGUUGUUCGGAAUAACUGGGCGUAAAGCGCACGUAGGCGGAUUGUUAAGUUAGGGGUGAAAUCCCGGGGCUCAACCCCGGCACGUAGCCUUGACUUACUGGCAAUCUAGAGUUCGAGAGAGGUGAGUGGAAUUCCGAGUGUAGAGGUGAAAUUCGUAGAUAUUCGGAGGAACACCAGUGGCGAAGGCGGCUCACUGGCUCGAUACUGACGCUGAGGUGCGAAAGCGUGGGGAGCAAACAGGAUUAGAUACCCU